UAAGGAAUAUUGGUCAAUGGACGCAAGUCUGAACCAGCCAUGCCGCGUGAAGGAUGAAGGUCCUCUGGAUUGUAAACCUCUUUUAUCUGGGACGAAAACGGGAUUUUUAUCUCAAUUGACGGUACCAGAGGAAUAAGCACCGGCUAACUCCGUGCCAGCAGCCGCGGUAAUACGGAGGGUGCGAGCGUUAUCCGGAUUUACUGGGUUUAAAGGGUGCGUAGGUGGGCUUAUAAGUCAGUGGUGAAAUCUCCGAGCUUAACUUGGAAACUGCCGUUGAUACUAUAGGUCUUGAAUUAUCUGGAGGUGAGCGGAAUAUGUCAUGUAGCGGUGAAAUGCUUAGAUAUGACAUACAACACCAAUUGCGAAGGCAGCUUACUACAUAUAAAUUGACGCUGAGGCACGAAAGCGUGGGGAUCAAACA
This 421-nucleotide ribosomal RNA is filed under the name uncultured bacterium. RNAcentral's name for it is "bacterial SSU rRNA". It matches the Rfam family "Bacterial small subunit ribosomal RNA", at positions 355 to 774 of the family's 1533-position model. The record is from RNAcentral.